Molecule: ribosomal RNA, 422 nt
Filed under: uncultured Chitinophagaceae bacterium
Lineage: Bacteria; Pseudomonadati; Bacteroidota; Chitinophagia; Chitinophagales; Chitinophagaceae
Description: bacterial SSU rRNA
Rfam family: Bacterial small subunit ribosomal RNA
Source: RNAcentral
UAAGGAAUAUUGGUCAAUGGACGCAAGUCUGAACCAGCCAUGCCGCGUGGAGGAUGACGGUCCUCUGGAUUGUAAACUUCUUUUAUCUGGGACGAAACACUUCUUUUCUAAGAGGCCUGACGGUACCAGAUGAAUAAGCACCGGCUAACUCCGUGCCAGCAGCCGCGGUAAUACGGAGGGUGCAAGCGUUAUCCGGAUUCACUGGGUUUAAAGGGUGCGUAGGUGGGUAUGUAAGUCAGUGGUGAAAUCCCCGAGCUUAACUUGGGAACUGCCGUUGAUACUAUAUGUCUUGAAUAUCGUAGAGGUAAGCGGAAUAUGUCAUGUAGCGGUGAAAUGCUUAGAGAUGACAUAGAACACCAAUUGCGAAGGCAGCUUGCUAUGCGAUUAUUGACACUGAGGCACGAAAGCGUGGGUAGCAAACA